Molecule: unclassified non-coding RNA, 195 nt
Filed under: fungal sp.
Lineage: Eukaryota; Fungi
Description: partial internal transcribed spacer region
Rfam family: Eukaryotic small subunit ribosomal RNA (bases 1-46)
Source: RNAcentral
AAGUCGUAACAAGGUAACCGUAGGUGAACCUGCGGUUGGAUCAUUACCAAUCCUGGGCUCGCAAGAGUCCUUCAACCCCAUGUGCACUUAAUAUUGUUUCUGGGUGUUUCGGCACCCAAACUUAUAAACCUUACUAUCUGUCUGAUAUUAUUUAUAUAAUAAAAACAACUUUUGACAACGGAUCUCUUGGCUCUC